Molecule: long non-coding RNA, 546 nt
Filed under: Homo sapiens (human)
Lineage: Eukaryota; Metazoa; Chordata; Mammalia; Primates; Hominidae
Description: HSALNT0384755
Source: RNAcentral
AGACCAGCCUGGCCAACAUGGUGAAACCCUGUCUCUACCAAAAAUACAAAAAAAACAAUGUACCGGGCAUGGUGGCACGCAUCUGUAAUCCCAGCUACUCGGGAGGCUGAGGCACGAGAAUCGCUUGAACUCAGGAGGUGGAGGUUGCAAUGAGCCAAGAUCCCACCACUGCCCUCCAGCCUGGACUAUAGAACUGAAACACUGCUCUUUCCGGGUUUCGAGCCUGCUGGCCUUAGGACUGGAACUAACACCAUCAGUUCUCUGGGGUCUCCAGUUUGCUGCCUCGCCCUGCAGAUGACAGCACUUGUUAGCCUCCAUAAUUGCGUGAAAUCUCUUUCUCUGUUUAGACAUUGGUUCUGUUUCUCUGGAAAACCCCAGUCAAUACAGGCGGUGAUCAUAUUUUGAGGAUUAAAUGAUACAAUGAAUAGAAUAUGCUUAACACACAGUGAGUGCUUGGCACAUAUGAUCUCCUCAAUACACAUCAGCUUUAUCAUGGAAAUUAUUAUGUAUCAUUAUACAAAAUAUAAUAAGAUUUCAAACUUGUGU